GAUUCUUAUUGUUUUAGUGAAAAAUUAGGGCCCAUAAAAGUAAUAACUAUGUCAGACGAAUCUGGUUGCGUUAUGGUAUCUGCACAUUGUUUUUUAGAUGUUGAAAAUUAUUUUGAAGAACCUUUAGAAUCGUCACCGGGUUUAGGUAUUUUAGUAGCGAAGAAAUUAGAUAAAAAGGUAUUUAAAAUCAAAAAAGACGACAUAGUUUACAAAUAUUUCUCUAUUCCACAUGAGGGAAAGUUUCUCCUUAUACCCAUUCUACAUCAUUUAUUUCAUAAAUUUUCAAAUUAGGAUUUUUAAGUAUUUAUGUACAUAUAUUUUUCUCAGCUCAUUUUAUUACAUUUUCUUAAAUUUUUGGAAAAGAACUUUGAUACUGCCAAUUUUUAUUUCUCAAUUAGAUGGAAAAUAUAUUUGACGAAAUUGACUUGGAGGAUUGUCCAACAACGUCUUCAACUCCCGCAAAAGACCAAUUACAUUUAAAGCGUAAAAAGUUUAACACGUCUGGUUGCUACAAUACAGAGGUCAGCAUUUCAAAACGACCUGUGGAAGGAAACGAGGUUAUUGACAUUUUAACCACUAUUUCCAAACAGCUUGACGAUUUGACGACGAGGGUAUGCGAUUUGGAAACUAAAAUCGAUAAGCAUUUAAAAGAAAAUAUUAUUCAUAAAAGUGAAGAAAUGGCGCAGCAAAAAACGGUUCGUGAAUGCAAGGUCCUCAUCCGCAAAAUUCAUCAAUCGGUAUGCCGAAUGACUGGUGAAGAUGUCGACAACGUUCAAACCGAAAUUGCUUCCACCCUACCAUUAAAUUAGCCUGCUGCAGCUUUGGAUAUGGACGAAAAAUUGAAAUGCGACGAAUUUGCUGCUACAACGAAACAAUUCGUUUUGAGGAUAAAAGGUACUUCAGAUAGUGUACAUGAUGUGUUGCGAAGUCUGUACACUGAUGAACUUCUUUAUUUAUGUAACUGGGACGGUAGGGGUGGGAAGCAACCUCUCUCCAAAUUCCUGCUGGUUUCCAACAUUUUAUACGAUUCAUUCAUGACGUAUGGAUUGGCAAUGUUCGAAAAACAAGUUCGAAAAGCCAUUGAAAUGAGCCACCAUAGACACAAACAAAGAAUUUAUAGGAAGAGGAAAACUGAGGAGUGAACCCUUUAAAUAUUUAAUAAAAAGUUAUAUGUAUUUCUGAUAUUAUUAAAAAUAAUUAUUUUAAUACAUACUAGAUUUUAAGAAAGCAUUGCAAAGCAGGAAUUGAAUUAAUAAUGAAAUAUUUAUUUUAAUUUAAACUUUAAUGUAAUUUUUGUUAAAAAUAAUUUGAAAAAAAAUUAAAAAUUAUAAAAAAAAAAAAAUCUUUUAUUUUGAGAUUCGAACUCGAGUCUCACGGAAUACCAAGCCGUGCGUUUAACCACUAGGCUAGUAUAGCAUGCAGCGUCGCGCU
Long non-coding RNA from Bactrocera dorsalis (oriental fruit fly), 1431 nucleotides. RefSeq lists it as uncharacterized. Lineage: Eukaryota; Metazoa; Arthropoda; Insecta; Diptera; Tephritidae. The record is from RefSeq and is a predicted model, not a curated record. The transcript is spliced from 6 exons.